CUUCAGCGAGCCCAGCCACAGCGGGCUGUCCUGCUCGCGGUCCUGCCCGUAGGUGGCGAGCAGCGCUUCCGCCUC
Streptomyces sp. NRRL S-444 is the source of this 75-nucleotide non-coding RNA. The record is from Rfam. NCBI's taxonomy places the organism in Bacteria, Bacillati, Actinomycetota, Actinomycetes, Kitasatosporales, Streptomycetaceae.